Peromyscus californicus insignis is the source of this 15090-nucleotide long non-coding RNA. RefSeq lists it as uncharacterized. The transcript is spliced from 8 exons. The record is from RefSeq and is a predicted model, not a curated record. Lineage: Eukaryota; Metazoa; Chordata; Mammalia; Rodentia; Cricetidae.
CAGGCCCCAUUUGGUGCAGACCUGUGCAGGCCCCAUUUGGUGCAGACCUGUGCAGGCUCUAUGUAUGCCGCCUCAGUCCCUGGGAGUUUGUGUAUAUGAUGAUCUUGUUUCUUUAGAAAGCCUUGUUUUCUUGAUGUCCUCCAUCACCACUGACUGGCUCUUGUGCUCUUUUUACCUCCCCUUCUGAGGAGUUCCCUGAUUCCUGAGGGGAAGGAAGUUGAUGGAGACAUCCCAUUUAGAGCUGAAUGUUUCAAGGUCUGCUCUCUGCAUAAUGUCUGACUGUAGGUCUUUACAUCUGUUCUCAUCUGCUGCCGGAGGAACCUCUGUUGAUGAUGACUGAAUAAGGCACUGAUCUAUAAUAUAGCAGAAUAUCAUUAACAGUCACUUUAUUGUUACUUUUUUUUUUUUAAGACUAGUAGUAUUUUGCUUUACCCUAGGUCCCUUGGCUAGCUAGUCUCUGGCUGUCGAUCACACAAGCAGUAUCCAGUAUGGGUUCCAUCUCAUGGAGUAGUCCUUAAGUCAAAUCAGACAUUGGUUGUUUACUCCCAUAAGCUUUGUGCCACCAUUGCCAUGGCAUAUUUUGCUGGCAGGACAGAUUGUAGAACAAAGGUUUAGUGGCUAGAUUGCUAUCUACAUUUCCUUUUUGGUAGUCUGAAAAGUACCUUCCUGUACCAAAGAUACUAGAACAUAGGGGUGAAGGUUCAAUGUAGGCACCAGAUCACCCUCUCCAUGUUCAAAAGAGUUGUGUUGGUGUUGUCUUUAGCAACCUAUUGUCUUGGCAGAAGCCUGGAUUGUUUGGUGAUUCCCAUGGGACCCCUUUGGCCGACAGCUCAAUAGGAUGUUAUCCAGUCCUGGUAAUAGAAGCUUCAUUUGGUAAAAAGUGACGGCCAGUUGGGACUCUGUCUCCCCCAUUAUUUGGCAAUUUCAUUUAGAUUGUCUUUAUAUUUGUAUAUGUUUUAGGAGACAUCUAUUAUGUUUCCAUACUACCCCUCAAAUGCCCUUAAUUUUAUUUGUUUCUCUCCAUACUCCUUUCUUCAUCCUCCUCUCUCCUACCCCUCCCCUGUUGCAGGAUAUUUGAGCAAACUGUGUAAAGAUGUCUUGCUGUUUUACCUUGCCUGCCUAAGGCACCUGAUUGGUUUAAUAAAGAGCUGGAUGGCCAAUAGCUAGGCAGGGGAGGUUAGGUGGGACUUCCAAGCAAAGAUAGGAACUCUGAAGAGAGGCAGAUUUCAUCAGUGAGCUGUGGAGGGAGGCAGACAUACAUUAUGGAGGAAAGGUAAAGAGCCACAUGGCAGACCAUAGAUUAAUAAAAAUGGAUUAAGUUAUAGGAGAUAGUUCUGAGUAAGCCUAAGCUAAGGCCAAGCUUUCAUAUUUAGUAAAAAGUCUCCAUGUUGUUAUUUGGGAGCUGGUGGUCCCAAAAAGAAAGUCUGACAAUAUUCUCCACUUGAUCCUCCCAUUCCAGUCCCCUCUACCCCCAUCCAUUCAUAACUAUAUAUUUCCCUUUCCUGGAGAGAUUUAUCUUCCUCCCCUAGUCCCUUACUCUGUACCUAACAUCUGUGGGUCUGUGGACUGUAGCUUAGUUAUCAUUGACUUAACAAAUAUCUACAUACAAGUGAAUACAUACCAUACUUGACUUUCUGGGUCUGGAAUACCUCACUUACAAUGAUUUUUUUUCUAGUUCCAUCCGUUUUCCUGUGACUUUCAUGUUUUCUUUUUUUUAACAGCUGAGCAGCAUUCUAUUGUGUAAAUGUGCCACAUCUUCUUUAUGAAUUCAUCUGUUGAGGGGCAUGUAGAUUGUUUCCAAUUUCUGGCUAUCAUGAAUAGAGAAACAAUGGGCAUGGUUGAGCAAGUGUGUCUGUGGUAAGAUGAUCCAUCCUUUGCAUAUAUGUCCAAGAGUGGUAUAGCUGGAUCUUGAGGUAAAUUGAUACCCAUCUCCUGAUGACUAAGGAUGUUGAACAUUUCUUUAAGUGUUUCUCAGCCACUUGAGUUUUGUUUUUUCAGAAUUCUCUGUUUAGAACUGUACCCCAUUUUCAAAAUUGUGUUCUUUGUUGUUAUUUUGAUAUCUAGUUCUUUUAGUUUUAAAUAUAUUUUUAUAUUGGCCCUCUAUCAGAUGUGGAGUUGAUAAAUAUCUUUUCCCACUCUGUAGACUGCCAUUUGUCCGAAUGAUGGUGUCCUUUGCCAUGUAGAAGCUUUUCAGUUUCAUGAGGUCCCAUUUAUUAAUUGUAAAUCUUAGUGCCUAUGCUAACAGUGUUCUGUUCAGAAAGUCUUUUCCUGUGCCAAUGAGUUCAAAGCUAUUCCCCACUUUCUUUCCGAUGGGUUCAGUGCACCUAGUUUUAUGUUCAGAUCUUCGAUCCAUUUGAAUUUGAGUUUUGUGCAGGGUGAGAAGUAUGGAUCUAUUUGGAUUCUUGGAGUGAGAAGAGGCCACAACAGACAGUCAGCUACAGAGCUGGGAAUGAGACUGAGGAACUGGGUAUGGAGGAGAGGAUGUGGAGUGUGGAUCUGAAGCUGGCCUGCCUGCUUAGCUGGCCUACUUUCCUCCCUCUCAGGCUUGGCCAGAGGUUCCCAGAAAAUUCCUGUUGGAAUUGGGGGCUGGGAUAAGAGGAUGAGUGGGGGGGAAGGUUGGAAGAGAAGGUCUGUGUGAUCUUCCAGGGGAGGCAGAGAGGAGGGGGAAACCGCAGCAGGUGGUUCGCUAAGAGUUAGGGGUGGGAUUAGAUUUGGAGGUAAGGAGGCAGAUCUGCAGUUAGGCUGCCUGUUUUCCUAGCUGGAGUAGCCUAUGCGGCUCCCAGAGAAUGCCUGCUGGAAUUGGGGACUGGCAUAAAGAGAUAAGUGCAUGGAAGGAAGGUUGUAGGGAAAGAUCUGUGUGAUCUACUAAACAUGGGAGCAGAGAGGAAAGGGUGUUCACACCAGGUGGUCUGUUAUAGAGCUGGGCAUGAAACUGGGGGAUUGGACUUGGAGAAAUGGAGAGAGAGGUGAAGAUCUGAAAUUAGCCUACUUGUUUCCCUAUUCUCUCUCUCUCUCUCUCUCUCUCUCUCUCUCUCUCUCUCUCUCUCUCUCUCUCUCCCUCUCUCUGCCUCUCUCUCAUAGAUAAUAGAAACCUACAGUUCAUUUACUCUAGAGACUAAAGCUUCUGUUAAUGUUUAUUGCUGUGCCAAUUCUCCUUUUAAGUUGUUGUUGCUCUUUUUGUUUUGUUUUGCUUUAUUUAUUUAUUUAUUUUUAUUUUUGUUUGUGAGGCAGGGUCUUUCUAGGUAGCCUUGGCUGGCCUAAUACUUUCUAUGUAGUCCAAACUGUCCUUGAACUGACAAUCCUCCUGAGUUAACUUCUUCAGUGCUGGGAUUACACGUGUAUGCUACCCCACCUGGAUGAGUUUGUUCUUAUUAUUCAGACUUUCUUCUUGUAUAUUAACUUGUUUUUUAUUUUUAUUUGUUGACACUCUGACAGAAUACCUGGUAGAAACAACUUACCAGGAAAGGGGAUUGGGUUAGGCUGAGUCUCAGAGGACUCCACCCGCCAUGGUGGAGACACGGAGGGAGAAAUGGCUGAGUCUGGGUAUGGUCUUAGUCUGUGUCGGUGGGAGUACCAGGCAAAUGAUCACUUCUCGGUAGCUGACCUGGAAAGAGAACUAGACUGGAUCCAGUGGCGUAUAGAGUUGCUUCUGCUCACGAGGCCACACACUCCCAAAGCUCCACAGCCUCUCAAAACUGUACCAGCAGCUAAUGAGUUUUCAAAUACGUGAGCUACCAGGGCCAUGCCGUACCAAACAAGGCUACCUUGAGUCUCCUCACUGUUAAUCUUUGUUCAGGUGAACUGGAAGGGUCCUUAGAGAAGGAGUGAGCUGAACUGCUAAACAGAGCUCUGUUAUUCUGUUAGAUCAAUACAUGUUCACUUGUUCUGAGGAUUAAGAAAAUGCACAACCACACACAGACAGAAAUGUAUAGGUUUCAGUUCAAAGGUCUAGAGGGUAUAUUUUAUAACAAUAUCUCUUUUGACUCAUACAGAACAUUUAUUUGUUGUCUUCCUGUGCCAUGUUGUGAGUCUGAGGAGUAAAAUUACUGUUUUAAGUUACUCUACAUAAAUAAAACAUGCUCAGGAACAAGCAAGUUAAAUGUUUGAUUUCAAAUUAACUUUGCUUUCCCGUCUAUCUAAUUACAAUUUUCUCAAGUAGAUCCAUGAGAUUUGAUGGUAAGGAAAGCCAUGAACGGCAAGUUUGGUGUGAGACUUGGACCCAGGUCCACCUUAUUCCAGAAAGCAGUGUGUACUUGCCUGUUCUUGUCUGUCUCACAGAAAUGCAUGGAGAGCAACUACAAGAAUAUGAUUGUUCCCAACGGUAGUAAAACCUUCAAGUUAAUUAAUUGAAAAGAGAACACAAUGAGAUGUUUUUAUGGGGGCUAGUGUUGUUUUUCUACCUGUUUUGAAAAUUACCUUUUAUUUUUUAAGAUUAUGAUAUAAUUAUAUCAUUUCCCCCUUCCCCUCACUCCCUUCAAAUUCUCCCAUAUAUCAUCCCCAUCUCCUACCCUUCUUUCAAGCUCAUGGCCUCUUUUUUUCAUUUGGUGGCUUUGGUGUGUGUGUGUGUGUGUGUGUGUGUGUGUGUGUGUGUGUGUGUGUAUUCCUAAAUACAUAAAUACAACCUACUAAUUAUAUAUAAUGUUAUUUGCAUGUAUGCGUUUUCAGGGCUGACCAUUUGGCCAUUUGGUAUUGGAUAGCCAAGGGGUGUGCUCUUCUUGGGGAAAACAAUCUCUCCUGCUUUUAACAUUCCUGGUUGCCAGUAAUUCUUUGGUAGGGUUGAGGCCUUAUGAGAUUCCCACCAUCCACAUCAGCAUGCCUGUUGUUAUCCUUGUACAGGUCAUGUUCAGGCAGCCAUGCUCAUGAGACUUCAUGGAUGUAGCAUCUGACAUGUCUACGAGACAUAAUCUCACAGCAGACUUCUUGUUCCUCCAGCUCCUGCAAUCUUUCUUCCCUCUUCUGAAAUGAUUCCUGAGACUUAGGGGCAGGAGUCGGUUGUAGGUGAAUCCGCUGGAGCUGGUCUCCACAGGUCUGAAAAUUGAUCCGCUGUGAUGCUGUGAUUUUCUGAUGUUCUCUGCCCAUUGCAAAGAGAAGUCCCUGUGACGAAAGGCAGGGACUACACUUAUAUCUGAAGAUUAGGAGCUAGGAAACUCAGAUGAGACAGAAUAUAUGACGUUUGACUUUCUGGGUCUGGGUUACCUCCCUCAGUAUGAUCUUUUCUAGUCCUACCACUUAUCUUGCUAGAUGUUAGAGAAGGAUCUCUUCAGCCACUUUGUUUGUUUUUUGAGACAGAGUUUCUCUGUGUAGCCCUGGAUGUCCUGGAACUUGCUCUGUAGACCAGACUGGCCUUGAACUCAGAGAUUUGUCUGCCUCCGGAGUGCAGGGACUAAAGGUAUGCACCACCACGGCCUGGCUUAUGUUGUUUGUUUGAGACAAGCUUCCACUUCGAAGCCAUUGGCUGGUCUGGAACUUGCUAUGGGGAGCAGAUUGGUCUCAAACUUGUGUUCUUUUUCUACCUUUGAAAAUUAGUUUUCUAGUUGAGCAGUGGUGGCAUAUGCCUUUAAUCUCAGCACUCAGGAAGCAGAGGCAGGCAUAUCUCUGAAUUCCUAGCCAACCUGGUCUACAGAGAGAGUUUCAGGACAAGCAGGACAAACAGAGAAAUCCUGUUAUAAUAAAAAACAAAACAGAAAUUAAACAAUUUUUGACAUUUAUGAAUAAAUAUAUUGCCUUAAUUCAACCAAAACUAACAUGACUAUCUAGUAGUUGGUUUGGGGAAUUUCUUUUAAUAGAUUAUAAAUUAACAUACUAAAACUUCUGUAUGAAAUAAAUGAUAGUUCCUAAUUCAUGGUCUUUAGAGUUUUGGGCUGGGGAUGUAGCUCCAUGGUUGAGUGUUUUGCCUAGCAUGUGUGAGGCCCUGGCUUCAGUUCCAUGCAUGCAGAAAAAGGGGAGCAGGAGUGCAGCUACAGCAAGUACAAAGCCCCCGUGUUCAACACCCAACACCUCAUGCACUAGGUGUGGGAGUCUCGGAAUUCAGGAGGAGGAAGUCAGAAGCUAAGCAUCAGGAGCUGGAGACCAGCCUCAGCUUCCUGAGACCCCGACUCAGACACACUGGAAAGGCUGAAGGAAACCUGACAUGGGACCGAGAGAAAUAUAAAGACGGAGGCAGCUGGAGGUCACACAAUGGAAGUGAUUGUGAUUUACCAUGGUGUACAGGUGCUGGUGAUUGUACUCAAGGCCUUACAUGCACUAGACAAGGCAUUGCAGCCUACAGGAGGGACUUGUCUACUGCUGAAAAUCAGGAUCUCUAACUGAGCAUGGAGCUCGCUGACCUGAGUAGGUUGAAUGGCCAAUGAGCUCCAAGGAUUCACCUGUUGCCCCACCCACCCCCUGAACCGGAGGCACAGAGGUUAAAAAGGUAGAUACUUGAGCCCUGAACUGAGGGCUGUGACUCAAACAUCCCAUUUAAGGAUGAGUAUUCCGAAGUCUCUUUUUCUCUGUGUGUCGAUGAGUUGUGGGUUCCAGUGUUCAUUGCCAUCUACUCCAAGAAGUUCCUCUGGUGAGGAAGAGCAAUGCACCAGUCUGAAGUUCUGGUUCAGACUCCAGCUUCAGAUUCCAAACAGUCUCAGAUUGUCAUGGUGAAACUAUAAAUGAGAGGGCUAAUUAAGACCUGCUGUUUCCUGAAACUUUGUGUGCACGGCCUCAGGAAUGAGACUCAUGCAGCUUUACUUGAAGGGCUACGUGUAAUCUUUAGAGAAAACCCCAGCAUUCUAGUACGUUCUCUCAAACACAGUCCCUACUUAAGACUGACAGUGGAUGUAGACUUCAGUCUAUGGUAAACGUGAAGCCUGGCUGUGGAGCUGCCUGGGUGAAAACUCAGACUCGGGUGAACAUCACGCAUUUAGGCUUCAGCUGCUAAUCUUAGCCAGUAUUUCCAAACUGAUGGAAACACCGUGUCGGAUCACUCAUUUUCUGUCUUCCGACAUUUUCUUACAUGUAUCCUUCCCUCUGCCUUGCAAAGGGUGGCAGUCUCUGUUCCGAGAAGGUGCGAAGCCACUUGGAGGAACUAUAACAACAACACAGAAACAUGUAAAAGAUUAGUUCUCACUGAGGUGACAAAUGGCCUGAACGGAGCAUCAGCUCACGAGCGCCCAGGUCAUCUGUUCUCCUUAGGGGGAAAAGAAGUCUAUUUUCUUUUCCUAAUGUUACCUUCUUGUUAAAUGGUUCCAAAGUAGAGUUUAACUACAAGAAUGAAAGAAAUGAAGAAAAAUAAGUAAACCUGCCAACGUUUUCUUAGGUUAGUGACAUAUUCAUGUGGCUUGUCACCAAAUGUGACAAUCCUGUGGUGGCAAAUCUCCCAGUCAGAAUAAUAAGUGAUUUCCACUCCCUUAAAAGAAACUUAAAAGUGUCUCAAGUAGAAAAUAUGAGCUGCUCACAACUUAGCACAAAACCAAUCUCAAGGCUAGGUAUUCUGAACCAAUGUCUCUGCUAAUGCUAUUAAACUAUACAAAAUAAUUUUUUGAAGUUUGUAUUUCCUAAAAACUGUACUCUAAAAGGAAACCACAGGUUCGAGAGGUGCCUCAGUGGGUAAGAGCAGAGAGGACCCAGUUUGGGUUCCCAACACACAUAUGAUGGUUCACAACCCUCUGUGACUCCAGUUCCAGGGGCUCUGACACUCUCUUCUGAGCUCCCUAGGCACCAGAUCUGCACAUGGUAAACAGACGUUCCUGCAGGGAGACCACUCACACACAUAAAAUAAAAUAAAUAAAUGUCUGCUUUGGUUUGUUUGUCUUUUUAAGGAAACUGACUUGGUGUCCCAAUCUUGAUCAAGAAGCAAGGGACCUACUUCAGAUAGCAUACUGCACAUCAAGGCAAAAAGGACCAACUCACCUCGGUGAUGGUGGCACACACCUUUAAUCCCAGCACUCGGGAGGCAGAGGCAGGUGAAUCUCUGUGAGUUCGAGGCCAGCCUGGUCUACAGAGUGAGUUCCAGGACAGCCAGAACUGUUUCACAGAGAAACCCUGUCUCGAAAAACCAAAAAAUACAAAAAAAAAAAAAAAAAAAAAAAAAAACAGGACCAACUCACAGUUGACAGUCACCAUGUGUUACUAUAUAGCCUGCAAGCUGACAGACCCAAGACCCAAAACUCUAAACCAAGAGGAAAAAGCCAACACAAAAACUCCCUUUUCCAAUUCAUGGUACAGACUUACUGGUUACCUCCCCAAGCUGUAGUGGGGCAGAAGUUCCCCCUCCCCCUUCUAGUGCUGGGCAGUGUAUUGGUUUGGUAGUGUGUUGCCUCAGAGAAUCUUCCAUCACCUACAUGCACGCUCUUGCCUUGACAAUCAUCAACAGGCAGACCCUCAUGUGGUCACCUCUUCUAACAAACUCCAUAGCUCCCCUGGGUCCCCUUUGGUACAUUUUUGCUUCAUCCAAGACCAGGCUGGGGCUUUUCUCCCAAGCUCAAAGCCCCAGGCCACAUAAGGGCAGAGCAGACACGUCGGAGCUGCUCCUGGCACCAACGAAAAUUAUUUGCCCCAAGAGGCAAACACAGCCCAGGCAGUGUCCAGGGUAUCAAUCCCUCUCUUCUCUGUUAUAAAAGGUCCUAUUGUAGAGACACAAAUCAUUCAGAGAUGGCAUAGACAAUGUCUAAUCAGUUAAUAGCCACUGAACACCCACUGGGUACUGGCCCCAAACUAGACGCCGCCUGUACCGUAUUCACUGGAGAAAAGCAGGAAAGGACAUGACUCACACAGAUUUAUAUUCAUCUCCUCUUCCAGCUCAGGACACUGGGGCAAACAUGGAUCCUUUAAACAAAAAGUAGACAAUGGCAGCUAUAACAGACAUGAGAUUACUUUUAUCUCUGGGCGGCAAGGUGGCGGAUAAAGCACCCGGGAAUUACUCACACUGACCUACGUUGGGGCCCUGCCUUUGUAAUAAAUAAAUCGGGGACACUGCUUUAUGAAAUUUACUGAAUUCUCCCUGAGAGUCUCCUUCCUUCCUUGUGAAACACAAAUGACAACGUCUACGUCAUGAGUUCUGUGGAGAGCUGCAGCGUUCGGAAGUGCUGGAUGCUUGUGAGGCUCGCCCAUGACACUCAGUGGUGACACUCUCUCCCCCAUGUCUAGAAUUAGAAACGCUUGUCAAAAGGCUCUUACAUACUGGGUCCUAUUUGAUCCUCACGCAAGUCCUGCUCACAUACACUUUAAUGCCACGGACAGCCUCUCAGGUCUUCAGGUUUCCUUUUGUUACCCUUUCGGAAAUGUAAUUGAGACAAAUCUGUUUGUUUUCUGAAUUUACCUUUCCUCCUUGGCAAGCGUUAAAAAAAAAAAAAAAAACCUGAAGCUGUGAAAGGGUUAAUUUUAUUCCGGUGUUCCAGAUGUCUUCAGCACCUUGACUUCGGUAAUAUAUUAAGAACAGUAAGUCUUUCUAAUGAAAGUGAAAGGUAUGCAUUGUGCCUAACUGAACCGCUUUCCCCUGAAGAAACGCGGCUGCCGGACUGCGUCCCGCCAUGUUCGACAGGCAGAGGAUGUGGCGCAGGAAGAGGGAAGAGUGCCAAUCUCUGGCUAAUGGUUCCAAACAGGGCCCGGGCCCAGCUCUUUGGAUGCUGAUGAGUGGGAAAUGAAACACAGAUGGGUCAGAUGGGUAAGGAGAGGGGGAUUACAGGUCAGGCCAAAGAGUUGGAAUAAAUUAAGUGCUUAUGAGGUACAGAAUGGCACAUUGUUUAAGUGAAUGGACAGGGGAAAAACAUUCCGGCAUUGUUUGGACCAGUGAGGGAACUCAACAUUCCUCCUCCCGGACCCGCAUAGGCUGCAGAUCCGCAUCCGCAGGAUGUGUGUGAACAAAACCCCAAAAUACAGCCAAUGGAGGCCGGGAGCAUUCUUCCCCACCCCGAGGAAGCUGAUUUUGUUUUAUUACACAUGAGAUGUAAUUUAUUGGGAGAAAUGUUUGGGUUCAUGUCAGAUCAUGGAGAAUCAGGUUUGGGGUUCCCCGGAGAUCUCUGAGGAGAAGGUGAGUAACCACAAAUUAAUGCAGCAGGGAAAUAAACCCACAAAAGAAACGUUGCGUUGUGCUGGAAACAUUGAACCAAUUUCACCCUUUUUAGCUUUUUAAAACUUUGCUCACAAAUCAAAAAUCAACUUCAGAAAACUAAGCAGAGCCUAUAAGGCAUGAAAUCAACAUAGAAAACAAAAAAGUGGAUGCGAUAGAUAAUUGUAUUCUUAGUUUGAGGGUUCUUCAUACUAUAGGUAAAGUAGCAAGCAUGGCGUUUUAAGGCAACUCGAACAGCAUGAAAACAAAUGGGAACCAGUGAGAUGGAGGAUAAGGGUGCUGGCCACCAAGCCUGAGCUUGACCUCCGGGACCCACACAGUAGGAGAAAACAAAUUCCUCCCAGGUAUCCUCCGACCUCCACAAGCAAACCUCGGCCAGGACGUGUAGACACGCUUUCACACACAAAUAAAUGAGCAUUUAAAAAAAAUAAGCCAUAUAGGUAACUUUAAAAAUGAAGUACUCAUGAUGAUAGUGGAUCUGUCCGUUCUGUGAGAGAAAAAUCAUAAAAGCACAAUGUAUAUACAUGACUGGUUCUUUAAUAUUAGGUAAUUAUAGGACAAAUUGAAUGUGUUUCCUUGAUGAUAUAAAGCCAAUGAAAUGUUAAGGGCAGGAAAUGUCAUACACAGAAAGAGAGCUCUCAAGUGCACUUGCCAAAAAAAAAAGAAAACUUUAAACUUGUAAUUAAUGGUUUAUUUUUUAGUAUGACAGGAAUUAUUUUCAGAGGCUUAUUUUCAUACCUGCUAUGUCUCCAUUUUAUGGACUUGACUUUUACCUGAAUAUUCCAAAGGCAAAACUGGAGACAGUUGUUGUCUACAUCACACCCUACGGAUGCUCAAACCUCACAUAUUAAGCUUCUUGACCUAUCGAUGCCAUUGUGUUCUAGUUCCAGAGUCCACCCAACAACAUUGCAAGCAAUCAGCGAGACAUUCUCGUGAACUGUCUCUGCAGAGUCUAGUGAUUCUCAUUGUUAUUAUUUUUUUAAAGUUCAUCCAGCAAGUAAUGAGAUUGUAUGUGUGUCAGCAAAUACUGGGGUUGUAUUUGUAUGUCACAGUAUUUUCUACCACUUAAGGCUAUCUUCAAACUGAGCUUGUCCACCUGGACAGUGGUGGCACAUGCCUUUAAAUCUCAGAACUCAUAAGGCAGAGACAGAAAGAUCUCGAGUUUGAAGCCAGCCUGACCUACAGAGUGAAUUCCAGAACAGAGAAACUCUGUCACAAAAAAACAAACAAAAAAAGGAAGUAAAAACCAACACCAAACAAAUAAACAAACCUGAGCUUGUCUUCUAAAAAUCUAAAUAGCUUACCAUUUCCCCCUGAUCUUCUCCCCUUCAAAAUUUUGUUGUACACUGCUCUGAGUCUUGGGAAGGAAUUUCAAGAAGAAACGAUCAAUUUAUAAAGCAAAAUUUAAAACUGACCAUGAUACAAGCAUUGGUAUUAAGAGAUGGAGAGAGGGAAAAAAUGGCUCUAGACACAUUUCUCCCUUAUGCUGAGCAAAAACAUUAAACUGUUACUCAUGGAAAGAAGGGCAUAGACCCAUCAGAAACUAAUAUCCGGUUUGUGGAUAUUGCUCUUUCCUUUCCAAUAAAAAGGAUGAUGUUUUUCAGUCUUUAUUUUUUCACUCUCACAUUUAAAAAAAGAAAGAAAAGGGACAACGGAAAAUGUUGGUAGAAGACUCUAAAAGGCAAAGUUGCUUUAAAUGAAUUAAAUGAGUAUGUGUUGUAACAUGAAAUGGAAGGUAAUUCUUUUCAGAAAAAAAAUACAAGUACAAGGACAAGGAUCCUGCUAAACAGCUGCUUUCCCUGUAGCACACUUGCAGUGGGACAUAAAAAAGUGUCAGUGGAGUGCAAUAACCAUAGAGCUCCCUAAUCAUCUUGCCGGGGCCAGACCUGAAGGGAACAGGGGGAGCUGAGUAACAGAGAGGCACUUGUGUACCUUUAAGGGUUCCCCAGAUAGUGUUAGUGAGGCUAGGGUUAGAACCCAGCAGUCCAGUCGACGCUCUCCAAUGAAGGCGUAACAUAAUACAUGGUACAUAAGCUUCCAUAGUAAUUGCCCGUCAGUAGGAAAAAGAGGAUGAGAAAGAUGAGAGCCCUGACCCAUCAGGCAGUGGUAGCUCCAUGCAGCCGAGCCUGGCUGCACUCAUAAGGUCCCUCACAAAUCCCUUAGGUUUACCAGAUUGGACGAACACUGUCACACAUAGCUAUCUCGCGUAGUGUAAGGAAAAGAACAGCCACAUUGCUCUGUGGUUACCCUUCAAUCAUUAGGAAAAUUUUUCUUUCGGUGUUUUGUCAGGCCAGUGAGAUGGCUCAGCGCACAAAGGUGUUUGCCACUGUGGCUAACAACCUGACUCCUGUCCUCAGAACCCACAUGGUCGAAGGAGAGAAGCAACUCCUGUGAGCUAUCGACCACCUGCUGGCCUCCACACCCAUGAAUAGCAUGCGCUCACAUACCCACCAAAUAAAUAAAUAUUUUGAAAAAGUGUUUUAUACUUUAUAUGCUCCAGACCCUACAAAACCUGAAUCCCCUCCUGGGAUUUCCACUUCGGAGGCAGAACUGUGGAAAUAGUUGGAGGGGCAUAGGGGGAGUACGUGUUUGUUUCUUGAUAUGUUUGGCUUGUGGCUGGAGUGAGUUCGGCCAACGCUAUCUGUUGAUAACUAAAUAUAUGCAUGGCCCAUGAAAUAAGACUGGAAACUAAUUUCUUUUGAUCCCAAUAUGCUGCUGUUGUUCCAUCUUCAGACUAUGGACAGAGGUCAGAUAUAGAGACCAACCUAGGCAGUCUCCUCAGAGUGAGCCAACCGUCUCCAAGUUAUUAUUUCUCUUCCUUUCUCUGUUAAAAAAAAUACAAUGUAAACAAAAAUUUCUGGACUUGGGGCCACAGUGAAGGAAAUUCCUUUACCACCACUGACUUUAGAAAUAAAGAAGUAUUGACUGAUUAUCUGCAAACACAUCAUGGUGCCACGUUUGCCUCGGAGAAAAGGAAGUCUGCUCCUCUGGUAAGUUUGCCUUGGACUCGCUUAUAAACAGAGGUGGGUGUGGACAAGAGACUCCUCAGGGGAAGAUGUGACUUUUAACCAUGACACAGUGGAGAUAGCCGUACUAUGAAAACCUAGCCACAGACAAGCCAGGCAGGACUGGAGAAAGGAUUCGUUGCUAUUUUCUAAAGGACAUCACUCCCUUAUAAGAAUUCUUAUGAUUGUUCAUUGGUAACACAUAUAAGAAAAAUAUAUCACCCUGAAAAUAAAAACAAAUUCACGUGAUUUUCAGAGUGAAGGUAAAUGUAUUGUUGAGACACGUGGUGACAUUGUGUCCCCCAAAAUAUUGUGCACCAUAAUAAACUUAUCUAGGGUCAGAAAACAGAAUAACCACUAUAUUAAACACAGAGGUUAGGCAACGGUAGCACAUGCCUUUAAUCCUAUCACUUGGGAGGCAGAGAUCUGUCUGGAUCUCUGUGAGUUCAAGGCCACACUAGGAACAGCCAGGUGUGGUGGCACACACCUUUAAUCCCACCACUUGAUUAUCUCAUGUCUUUGCUUGGGAAAGACACAAGCCUUUAAUCCCAUGAAGUGACGGCAGGAAGCAGAAAGGUAUAUAAGGCACGAAAACCAGGAACUAGAGGCUUUUAACCUUUUAAACUUUUAGCAGCAGUUCAGUUGAGAUCCACUCAGAUGAGGACUCAGAGGCUUUCAGUCUGAGGAAACAGGAUCUGAUGAGGAGAUGGCGAGGUGAGGUUAGCUGUGGCUUGUUCUGCUUCUCUGAUCUUUUAGCAUUCACCCCAACACUUAGCUCCUGGGUUUUUUAUUAAUAAGAGCUUUUAGAAUUUCGUCUACAGAGAUGUAGUCGUUGUACAUAAUGUUAGCUUCAUAAAGAUAGUUUUCUUUCAAAUAUAUCCUAUUUUGUGCUACAUACCUCACCUUUACUCCCCUCCCAUAUGUCACCUUUUUUCUCUGUCUCUCUUCUCUUUCUUGUCCUAAGGAUAGUGAGAGAGGGGAGGGAUUGCUUUACGUAUUAGUUUUUUAAUCUCAGAUCCACAAGUGCGAGACAAUAUGCAAUAUUUGCCCAAGUCUUGCUUGCUUUCUUAAUUUGCUUUACAGUUGAAUCUAUUUUCCAGAAAACAGAAUAAUUUCAAUGUUCCUCCCAGCUGAUUAAAACUCCACUGUUGAUGUUCAACCACGUUGUCUUGUUCUGUUCAUCUGCCGACAGGCAGCGGGGUUGAUUCUGAACUUGGCUGUUAUGGCUUCCAUGAACAUCAUGUGCAAGGACUUCUGGGCUGUGCUUAUUUAGAGUCGCCUGAAUAUGUACCCAGAAGUGGUCUAGCGUAGUCAUGUGUUAUCUCUAACUUUUAUUUAUUUGAGGAACCCCCAUACUAAUUUCCACAGGACUAGUCUAGUUUAUAACCCCAUCAGCAAUGUGGAAGUGUUCCCCCUUCCCUCCGUGAUUACCAGCAUUUGUCUAUUGGUUUUCUUUUUGUCAGGCUUUUCUGACUGGGGUGAGACCACACUUCAAUAUAUUUUCCAUUUGCAUUUCCCUGAUGGCUAAUGGUGUCCACCAUUAUUUUAUAUUUAUUGGCUAUUUGUACUUUGUCUUUUGAGAAGUGUUUGUGCCUUUCAUUAAUUCACUUCUUGUUUGAUUUUUCCAGUAGUUUAGGAGCUUCAUACAUUCUGGAUAUUAAGCCUCAGUGUGAUGAUUUUCUCCAGUUGUGAAAGCUGUCUCUUUACUCAAUGAAUUGUCUCCUUCCCUACGCCAAUGCUUCUUCAUGUCAUCCCACCCCAUUGGUCAGCUCUCAGUGUGAUUUCCUGAGCUGGAGAUUAAAUUUAAAGGAAAUAUUUCUGCAGCCCUGUCAGCCAGGCCAGCAAUAGACCCCGUAGACUGGUUCACCGCCACAGAGUCACUUUACAGCACUCGGGUGUUUGCUGUAUGCUUCAUUAAAGUACUGCUCUGCUGGGAAAGACCAGAUUUCCAAAUGGUGACUUUAUUGAUUCAAUAAAAUUGAAGAAAUUCUGCUUAUGGAAAAACUCAUUAACCAAAACUAAUAAAUAAGAGUUUACCCUGCA